ACGCUGGCGGCGUGCUUAACACAUGCAAGUCGAACGAUGAAGCUGGAGCUUGCUCCGGUGGAUUAGUGGCGAACGGGUGAGUAACACGUGAGAAAUCUGCCCUUGACUCUGGGAUAACUGCGGGAAACUGUAGCUAAUACCGGAUACUUUCCCUGGUGGGCAUCCACUGGGGAAGAAAGAAUUUCGGUCAAGGAUGAUCUCGCGGCCUAUCAGCUAGUUGGUGAGGUAAUGGCUCACCAAGGCGACGACGGGUAGCCGGCCUGAGAGGGUGACCGGCCACACUGGAACUGAGACACGGUCCAGACUCCUACGGGAGGCAGCAGUGGGGAAUAUUGCACAAUGGGCGCAAGCCUGAUGCAGCAACGCCGCGUGAGGGAUGAAGGCCUUCGGGUUGUAAACCUCUUUUUAGCAGGGAAGAAGCGAAAGUGACGGUACCUGCAGAAAAAGCACCGGCUAACUACGUG
Molecule: ribosomal RNA, 464 nt
Filed under: uncultured bacterium
Lineage: Bacteria
Description: bacterial SSU rRNA
Rfam family: Bacterial small subunit ribosomal RNA
Source: RNAcentral